GCAAGUCAAGGAGAACGGGGCCUUCGGGCCCUCAUUAAACUGGCGAACGGGUGAGUAACGCGUAGAUCAUCUGCCCCUUUCACUGGCAUAACUUCGGGAAACCGGCGCUAAUACCAGAUGAGGCCUUCGGGUCAAAGCUUCGGCGGAAAGGGAUGAGUCUGCGUCUGAUUAGCUAGUUGGCGGGGUAACGGCCCACCAAGGCAUCGAUCAGUAGCUGGUCUGAGAGGACGAUC
This 233-nucleotide ribosomal RNA is filed under the name uncultured bacterium. RNAcentral's name for it is "partial 16S ribosomal RNA". It matches the Rfam family "Bacterial small subunit ribosomal RNA", at positions 57 to 305 of the family's 1533-position model. The record is from RNAcentral.